UACGUAGGGGGCAAGCGUUGUCCGGAAUUAUUGGGCGUAAAGAGCUCGUAGGCGGUCUGUCGCGUCUGCUGUGAAAACUCAGGGCUUAACCCUGAGCUUGCAGUGGGUACGGGCAGACUAGAGUGCGGUAGGGGAGACUGGAAUUACUGGUGUAGCGGUGAAAUGCGCAGAUAUCAGGAGGAACACCUAUGGCGAAGGCAGCUCGCUGGGACGGUAUUGACGCUGAGACGCGAAAGCGUGGGGAGCGAACAGG
Molecule: ribosomal RNA, 253 nt
Filed under: uncultured bacterium
Lineage: Bacteria
Description: partial 16S ribosomal RNA
Rfam family: Bacterial small subunit ribosomal RNA
Source: RNAcentral